This is a long non-coding RNA of Brassica rapa (field mustard), 8954 nucleotides long. RefSeq lists it as uncharacterized. The record is from RefSeq and is a predicted model, not a curated record. Lineage: Eukaryota; Viridiplantae; Streptophyta; Magnoliopsida; Brassicales; Brassicaceae.
CGAGGAGCAAGGGGAGAACUUUUUUCAGAGCAAACUUAGCACUUAGAGCGAUUUAGGCAACUUUCCGUUUUUGUUAUUUCGAGCUGCGACUCAAUUAGGUUUAGCCGUCUUAGGGUUGUUAGAACUAGGAAUCUCGCCGACAGCUCUCAUAGCCGAGGCUUCUACCUUGUUGUAACGCUCCUACGCGAAUUCGGAAUAAAACUCCUUUUGCUCUCUUUUUACGAUUUCAUAUACUUUAUCAUUGUUACCUCGUGUUCUGAUUGCUUAGCGUGUGGUAUUAGCAGAUAUCCGGGACCUCUGGAAAAUUAGGGUUCUCCUACUUUCCUUAUUUAAACGGAAAUCGACAGUGCAAAUUUCGGUUCCCACAACACACUCUCGACAAAAGUUCCAAAGCAUAAGACGCGAGAGAAACAGAUCACAGAAUUAAACGAACAAUCUAACUCGCAUGUUCGGCGAGUUAGAUUUAGCACACCAUCCAACUUGCCGAAUGGGCGAGUUGGACCGAAUGCACCAUCCAACUCGCCGACGGUCGAGUUGGACCGAAAGCACUGUCCUACUAGCCGAAUAGGCGAGUUGGACCAAACGCGCCGUCCGACUCCUCCCGACUCGCUGUAAGCCGACGUGGACCGUGCCUUAUGCCUUUCACCGAACCUCGACGGAUCAAUCCCUCGUUUUGUAUCGAUCAGAGUUACCAUUGGAGCUUUACAAUAAGAACCGCGAAGACUCGUUUCCCCGAAUGAAGUAUGUGUUAAUCGUAUAAAUGACAACAGGUAACUUAACAUCACAAUUGUCUGAACUAUACGGGAAGUGUGGACUUCCUCUAUAAAUAGACGUCGCGUCAAGAAACGUUCUUUCGAAGAAGUCGUAAGAACAUCUAAGUCUAAAAACGGCCGUAAUAGGCCUAUAACACGGCUAAUGGCCCACUUACGAUUUCAUACGAAAUUGAGCCCGACAAUUCUAUGACGGUGUAUCUUUACUUGCAGAAGAAGAUAAGUCUCUGGAAAUAGGAAGAUAAAUGUCAAGUUUCCAAGAUAAUGAUGAAGAUCGACAAGAAAAGACUUAUUUCCGCGAAGCGAUAAACUUGACCUAGGGGUAAAAAGGGAACGGGAACCGACCCAGAAGGCUAUAUAAGGGGAGCUAAAGCUAAAGGCGCAGGGAGAGAGAUCUUUAGACCUAGAACAACUUUGCUAGCUUAGAGAAACUUUGAAUUUAGGUGGCUUGAUUUUUACUUAGAUUCUUUUCGUCCUUGUUAUGAGAUUUAUUUGGCUAGCGAAACUUUGUCCGUCUUGUCUCUCAUAAACCCUAUAAUUUUACUCUUGUCAAUCAAUAAUACGCCUCUAUGCAACUUACUUUCGAUAUUCUGUUAUCUUUGUCUAUUUCUUUUUUGUGUGUUUACGCAGAUAAUUUGGGACCUCUGGGAAAUUUAGGGUUUCCUAUCUUUCUUUAUUUUACGAAAAAUCGACAGUGCGAAUUUCAGUUCCCACAGUUUGGCGCUAGAAGGGAGGGGGAUCAGAUUCUCUAACUCAAAAAACACCGAACGUCUGAGACACGAUAUGCCUAAUUGAUAGAACAUGGAUUUGACCCACUUUCACCAAUGGUUUAUAGGUGUUUUAUCAACUAAUAAUUAUAUUAUAGAGUCUAUUUAUUAUAUUUAUAAGAUCAGGAGUGAUUUGGAGAUAAGUGAUCAUUUUGGAGCAUUUUGAAGAUAUUUAGAGCAAGCACCUUAGAUAACCAUCGAGCUGGACCAUCGGUCGAUACUAAGGGAGAAAUAUCGAAUGUUCACAACAGAACAUCGAUCGACAUCGAAGCGCGCAGAAAACUCGUUUGGUCACAGCCAACUUGAAGCCCAAGUCUUCACCAAUUUACAAGAUUACGCCUAAUGAGUUUUAACCUAAUUAUAUAAGCUUUGCCACCAUGUUAGAGGCAAAGUUUGCUUUUCUUGUGUUUUCUUGUUUUACUAUCUUCAGCAAAGGUUUUCUAGGAUUUGGAUAAAUUGGAGAGAAGAUCCAAGGUUAUAUUUGUGAUUGGAACUCCAUUGAUAUCUAUUUACUAUUCUAAUGAAGUUUUCUUACCUAUUUGCUGUUAUGAAUUGCUCAUCCAUGUCUGAGUAGUUUCUUUGUUAGAUUUUAGGGUUUAAAUAGGAUAUGAGGGAUUAGCGCCAACUAUAGAUUGCUGAGUUGUGAUAAUAAUCAUUAGGAUUGUCAUUAAUGCCUGAUUCUAGAUUAGCUACCUAGAACUUGCCCUAGGAAUGUUAUAUAUAAGGGAUAGCUUCAAUCUCAUCCUGAAACCAUUCUAAUCGAGCUAAGAUUCUUGCUAGAGUAAGGCGAGAGCUGAUCUAGCAAGCUUAGUGAGCAUAUUCAACCCGUGCAUUAAUGCUUGGCCAAUAGCAUCGAUCGAUAUUCAAAUAGAAUAAUCGAUCGACGUUGCGAAUAGUGUAUCGAUUGAUAUUCAUAUAGAAUCAUCGAUCGACACUGGUCAAUAGACGAACCUAGAAAGCGAGAGCCUAGUGGUUCGUUUAUAAGUCUUGAGCUCUACAUUAUCAUGCAUGCAACUCAUUAGGCUUCUGUAGGAUUAUAAUUCCUAGUUUCCUGAAUAAAAACCCUAAGUCUAGCUAUUUCCUUUUAAGCAUCAAUUACUUGCUCAACAAACUGCAAUUUUACAUUGAAAUCAUUAAACCAACUUACUUAACAAAUCCAAUUAGAUUUAUUUGGUUCCCUAGCUCCUUGUGGAUUCAAUCCCAAAGUACUACAAUUGAACCUCUUAACCUCUUAUUUGAGAGAGUAAAUUCACUCCUUAUGGUUAUUUGAGUGAUAUCAAAUUUGGUGCCGUUACCGGGGAGCUUUGAUCGCCUAUUAGAUUUAAUUUUUGUUAAGUUUAAAACAGAUUCCAGACAUAAAAUGUUUUCUUGGAUUUUCAGGUACAUGCCCAGCAGUACCACAAGUAACAAGGAAACCAAACUGCUAUUCUCACCAGAUCAUGCAAGUUUGGAUCGUUCAAUCCGCAAAAAAAGCAUGCUCCUCAUCGAUUGACAACAACACUUGUUCGUCGCUCGAUUUUCGUCAACCACCGUCGACUCAGGCACUAGUUCCAUCGACCGACACUCGCUCACCACCAUCGACCGAAGACACUCAUUUUCCAUCGAUCAAUAUCUUUCAUCUGACAUCGAUCAAUACUUCAGUCCAAACAUCGAUCGAUACUGAGCCGCGAGACCAGGGGGAGUCCUGCAUGACCAGGAGGAUCAUCUGCGUAAUGCAGCAUGUCAGAGGAUAGAUGCUCAGGGGACUGCAAUCCUUGAGUCUGAUACUUAAGCUACAUAAGCUGCUCAACCUCUAGAAGAGGCUCCUCGACUCAGAACAUUGGCUGACUACAACCGUCCAGAUCAGUUCUACACUAACAGAUCAGCCAUUCGUCCUCCAACUAUUCAGAGGGAUUUCGAAUUGAAGCCACAGUACUACACACUCGUGGGACAGACACCAUAAGAUGGGUUAUCUCACGAGUACCCUAUGGACCAUCUGGAGAGAUUCGAGGAUCUUAUAUCUGCUAAUAAAGUCGAGGGAGUCUCUGAAGACUACCUCCUAAGCAAGCUCUUCAAGUACUCACUUGCUGGAGGCUUAAGCAGUUAGCACCAGGAUUUCUCACAUCCUGGAGCGACAUAAAAAAUGCAUUCUUAUGCAACUUCUUUGAUGAAGCGUUUGCUGAAGACUUGAGGAGCAAGAUUGCUUCAUUAACUCAGGAGCCUCCAGACUCAUUCAGAAGCUCCUGGAUCAGAUUUAAGUCUUAUCAGAGAGACUGUCCACACCAUGGAUUCAAUGAAGUUCAACUGUUCAGUACUUUAUAAAGAGGCAUCGCGGUGCAGUACCAGAUGGCUCUUGAUGCUUCCAGCAAUGGGAAAUUCAACACCAGGAAUCCAGAGGAGGUAGUGAAAGUCAUUGAAAACCUAGCAUCCAGCAGCAGCACCAAGAAAACUGACUUUGAGAGGAAAAGAUAUGCCACCAUCCUUUGGAAUGAUCAAAUGGAUGAAGUGAAGGCAAAUCUGAACAGUGUUCAUAAGCUUCUUAGGAAGCAUGUCUGUUUGGUUGAAGAUGCAGAGGCUCUAGACACAGAGGGUAGAGCAGAGGAAGAAGAUGUGAACUUCAUUUGUGGAACUGGAUUCCAAGGUUUUGGAAACCAAGGUGGAAACAGAAACUCCUAUGGAAAUAGGGGCAAUUUCAACCAGAGUUCGCAGCACCAAAAACCCUACAGCAAAAACUAGAGCAACAACUACAACAACAACAUGGGUUAUGAAAACUCCUACUACCAGAAGCCACCACCGCCCACUCAAAAGAGCAAGAUUGAAGAGAUGCUUGAUAGAGUUCUUGAGGGACAACAGCGCAUGACAGUGGACUUCAAUGGGAAGAUUGAUUCUGUCUACACCAACCUGAACACAAAGUUUGAGACAUUGAGCACUCAUGUAAAGAAGCUGGAGAUGCAGGUUGUUCAGACAUGAGAAGCUGUUAAGAGGCAGGGAGCCUUGAAAAUAGGGGUGGAAUAUGAUGUGAUGAAGCACCACGUGAAUGCCAUCUUUGGGGGUGAUUUCUGGCAGGUGGUGAAGGAAGAGGAAGCUGCAAGAAGGAGAUUUCGAAGUAGAGAGUCUGAUGAUUUUCGGCAGAUCGCAUUGGUGUCGAUUGACGCCAAGCCACAAACAUCGGUCGACAGAGGUCAACUAAAACCGAUCGACAUCCUCUCCUGGACAUCGAUCGACAACACCUACGGAGUCAAUCGCAUCUUGUAGUGUUGUGAGGAUCAUGACUCACGAGAAGUUCACAACAAAACACCCACAUCCGCCCAGCCCUGUCUACGUAAACAUCGAUCGACAUUAUGACCCUAUCAUCGAUUGACAUCAAGAGACCGCCAUCGAUCGACAUCCUCCAGCGCCCAUCGAUCGACGAGCACCUCUUACGUACCAAGUGCAAAUGCCACAGAUAGAUGUUGCACGUCUUAAUGCACUUAGGUCCAAAACCAAACCUUUAGAAAACCCACCAGAGGCGUCAGGAUACCUUCAGAUGAUGGAGCAGAUCCUAUGGAAGUUGAUAGGGUUCCUACGGGAGGAACCCUAAGGAAAAGAAAGGAAAAAGUGGCGAAACAUCUGAAGAGGGAGGCUAAUGAAAAGGAAAAGAAAAGUUUCCGAAAAACAGUCUUCAGGAUUCCUCUAGAUAAGCCAUUCAAUGAAGCUUAUUUUAACCACAAAUUGUGGAUGUUCUUCAGAGAAACUAGAGAGACAGAAGAAGACAUUAGGAGAAUGUUCUAUGAAGCUAGAGAAAAGAUGAGGAAGAGGAUUACAUUGAAGAAGAAGAGUGAUCCUUGGCAAUUUGCAAUACCAUGUACAGUGAAGGGUAUUGAAUUCCCACAUGCCUUGUGUGACACAUGAGCAUCACUCAGCAUCCUACUUAGGGUUAUGGCAGAUCAUCUAGGUCGGCAAGUGAAUCAUUCCAAGGAAUAAUUCACUUUUGUGGAUUUUUCCCAAAGGAACUCAGGAGGGAUUGUGAGAGACCUAGAGGUGCAGAUUGGUAAUGCCCUAGUUCCAGUUGAUUUUCAUGUCAUCGAUAUCAAGCUAAACUGUAACUCUUCUUUAUUACUUGGGAGAGCUUUCUUGUCAACAGUGGGAGCAGUGUUCAACUUCCAAACCAACCAGUGGUGCCUAAUGCUCAUAGAUCUUCAUGUCCACUACAACCCUAUUCCAGUCAAGAAGCCACAGACGUCCUCCAGACGAAUUAUUGAUCCAUGAAUCAUUGCAGCUUGCCACUGUGGAGCCGAGUACGAGAUAGACUACUCAGCAUCGAUCAACACUCACACCGUGUCAUCGAUCGACACUCACACCGUGUCAUCGAUCGACACAACUCUGAAGAAAUCGAACGACGUUCGGAAAGAGGAAUCGGUGGAAUGUAGUCAAUGAGAAUGGGAAAACUACUGCUACAAUCCUACAAUGGCAGCAGAUACCAUGCAUACGGAGGACUAUGAUGAAGAUUAUGAGGAAGAACGAGCCGUAGAGCAAAAAUCGAUUCUUAACGAGGAAGAUAGACUUCUCCAUCAUUUCUCUUGGAAAAAGAAGUCGCCAUCGAUCGACAGAGACGUUUCAACAUCGAUCGACACUCAGCUUCAUCAACCAAACCGCCUUCGAGCAUCGACCGACAUCGCCUACUACACAUCGAUCAACACUAACGUCGACUAUGCCCGAGACGGAGAUUACUCAAUUCGCAGUUGGGCAGAUGAUCGCUAUCGCGAGAGCUACGCAGUACAGACAACAUACCGUGACCAAGGAGCUGAUGAACUUCAUGAAAGUUUCACAUAUGAGUAACUUCUCAACAUGCAAAGACGCGAUGAAACAGAUCAGAAACAAGCAGCACCUGCUCGGGAAAGAACACGUUUCAGCCAUUCGAUUGACAGAGCGAGCCGUCCAUCGAUCGACAACAAUCCUUCAACAUCGAUCGACAUUCGUUCAAUGCCAAAAUCCACUGUAAGCGAAAAAGCUAAAUUUGAUAAACAAUACCUAACACCAGACGAAUUUGGUAUUUUCAGGGACCCAGAUAGCUACACAAGAGCAAUCGAUGGACAUAUUCUGCACCUAUCUCGACAAGAUAUUGCAGACAUCCUACAGACAGCCAACGGAACAGACAACCUCUUCAUGCAACAACAAAACAUUCCAGAGCAUCAGGAGAAGGUUACAAAGGAGUUCUAUGACACAUCUGGUGUCAUAGAGAAUCACUUCAAACAGAAGUCUCAACAUCCUACUCGACCGUCGAUCGACGUUGACGUCCCAACAUCGGUCGACAGACGUCCAGAAUUUGGCAGAAGAGCAUUUGAUUUCUUUGGGGCUAGGAGAUUCUACUGGGAGGAGAAGGAUUAGUAUGGAAUCUACAGAGAUGAUCAGGGAUACGCCAGAGAUGUAGAUGGACACACCAUUCGUGUUCAUAACAAUGAUAUCAGAAGACUUCUAUAAAGAGCUUCAAGAGAUGAGCCAACCUACAUCUGUCUUCCAGAACAUGCUAGUUCAUUCACACAAACCAAGCUAGUACCAGAGAUCUACACCAAGUACGAGAUCAAUGAGAACAAGAGAAGAGCAAAGGAGACUUCCAGAUGAAGCUCGAUGGUGUCUACUAUCCACUGAAUCAUAGUAUCAGUUGGCUAACUACUUGCAUGGAAGAGAUAAGGCAAGACAUAGCCAGAAUUCAGCGAGCGACCGACAUUUCUCGACCUACAUCGAUCGACAGAGUUCUACAGGCAUUGAUUGACAGUCGCUUACUAGAAUCGAUCGACAGUCGCUCACCAGAAUCGAUCGACAGUCGCUUACCAGCAUCGAUCGACGACAAUCUACCACACUCGCAUACGAUGAAGUCUCAACCAGAUUUUCACACCAGGACAGAGAUAGAUCAGUUGGUAAAAGGGAUUUACAGAGCUCUGGAAACUACAAAAGAGAGGCUUGAUGAGAGAUGUGACGACAUCUAUUUCCCAGUGGACCUCACCAUUUGUGCUUUGACUUCCAAGAUAGAAGCUAUACAAGGGGAGUUGGUGGAGAUUCAGAGUUACAUUGCCCGUCGACAAGAAGCUUCAGCAUCGAUCGACAGACACAACAACAAAUCGACCGACAUUCAUCGACAAACAUCGUUCGACGAUGCUACAAACCGAGGGAGACUAGUACAAUAGGUGACAUCAUACAUGUCUGAUACACACAACCAUAGAGAGGAGAUCUCAGCUGACACAUACGCCAGACUUAUGAGACAUCAGUUCAAUCUUGAGAGUCUUGGAGAUAGACUGCAGAAGACAGAGGAUACAACUACAAUAGUGAAGGACAAAUGGCGCAUAGGAGAUGAAGCAAUGCGAGACUUCACUUGUACAUGGUUCAACAAGCGCAAAGAAGAGAUGGAGACUUGUUUCCCAGCAAGUGCCAGCUUUCAACAUCACUAGCCCAGUCACCUCCAAAGUCAAGCUAAAUGACUAUAACAAAGCGCUGAGUGGGAGGCAACCCACUAUUAGGUAAUAUUUAUUUGGUUUUUAUUAAUCUAGUAUUUAUGUUGGUUUUUAAUUAUUGCAGGUCAUUAUAAAAAAAAAAAUAUCCGAGUAGACGAUUGCCGUGAAUAGCGACCGACGAGACACUACCGACAUCGAUCGACAGAGCAUCACCUGCCGCGACCGAUAUCAACAUCCUUACAUCGGUCGACAUCCAUUCCGGUCUGGUAUAUCGUUCUAACUUGUUACAUUGAGCCCUUAUGAUUUAAUUAUCAUCAUAACUCCGACUGAAUUUACAUUGGGGACAGUGUAGUUUAAGUGUGGGGGGGGGGGGGGGGGGAGGUUUACUGAUAUUAGUUUAUUUAUGAGUUAUAUAUAUUUUCAAAAAUAAGUUUUUAUUGAGUCAAGAAGGGGAUAAUGUUUAUUUACUUAUUAUCUAAGAAGGGGAUGUUAGUUUAUUUACUUACUAUCUAACCACUCUCUAGCAUCAUUCUUUGAAGUUGUUGACUGCAGGGUGUAUUGAAUGGAAACACCAAAGUGGAUCAUCUGCCAAUAACAUCCAUGCUAGCCGAGAAAGUCUGAAGGAACCAAAGCUGACUUCCAACCUUAAUCAAUUCAACUUGCUUGUUUUGGGGCUUGGUAUAUAUUGGAUCGGAUUCCUCUUUCAGGUCUGAAAAGGUACAAGUCUGUAAAUUUUUGGUUUCCUUCUCUCCUCUCUUUGGCAUCUCAAAGAUAAAAAAAUAAAAGAUUGAAAUGAUUUCUCGGAAGAGGCAGAGGGGUAGGAGUGUCUCUUGUGAUCUCAUUAUUCUAAAUCUGAAAGGAAUGAUCACACAUUGUGGAAACGAGAGAUAGGAGUAUCUCCUGUGACCCCAUUUUUCGCUACACUUUGUCAAAAAAAAAAAGAGCUAAAAAAGUAGAAAAGUCAAUAAGAUGAACAAGAUGGCUAUAUCAGCAUCAACAUUCAUUGAAAU